UGUACUGGAGUCGGGAGGCACUUAGAUAAUGUAUUAUUCUAGGGCCAUAGUACAGAAGGUGAUAUUAUUUGUUUUUUUGAGCUCUGGAGUCCGGAGGAGAUCUGAAGAGACUAUUCAUUGCAAAUGUUUAGUUAGUUGAAUAAUCUGUGUUAAAAAAUCUCACUAUUUGCCUUACUCCAUUUCAGGAAGCUGCAAAUCCUUUUGAAUAUUGUGAUGUGGUUACCACAACCACGCACAAGUCCCUCAGAGGGCCAAGGGCUGGCAUGAUCUUCUACAGGAAAGGCCCUAAGCCCCCCAAGAAGGGCCAGCCUGAGGGUGCUGUUUAUGAUUAUGAAGACAAUAUCAACUUUGUAGUGUUCCCAUCUCUCCAAGGUGGCCCUCACAACCACCAGAUUGCUGCACUUGCUGUUGCUCUACAGCAAACUAUGUCGCCUGGCUUCAAGGCCUAUGCAAAGCAAGUGAAGGCCAAUGCUGUUGCAAUUGGAAACUAUCUCAUGAGCAAGGGCUACAAGAUGGUGACUGAUGGAACUGAGAACCACCUUGUUCUCUAGGAUCUCCGCCCCCUUGGCUUGACUGGUAUGCAAAUUAACAUCUAACUGGGCUUCAUUUUCAAGGGGCCAAACUAUAACUUGUUUUGCUGUUGUCUUAUAUCCACAGGAAACAAGGUUGAAAAGCUAUGUGAUCUUUGCCUCAUCACAUUGAACAAGAAUGCUGUCUUCGGUGACAACAGUGCAUUGUCUCCGGGUGGUGUCCGCAUUGGUUAGUAUCAUUUAUUUAUUCAUUUCUUCUGUUGUGGUGCAAGCUUCAAUGAAGUAUUAGUCCAACAUUGCUAUCCACUUGUCAGUUCGAAUUUUUUUAUGGUCUUUGAGCCUACCUUCUUAAUGAAAAAGGUGAUGUGUCUAGAUAUUUUCUUGGUGUCUGGCCCUAGUAUGGCCAUUGUUGGCAAACCAAAAAUUAGAUUAGAGCUCUCAUUUGGUCACAUAGUUCAUCUUGAUGACCAAUAAGCCAAAACCUUGACCACAAAAGUGAUACCCCUGAUUAUGGUAUGUUGGGAGGGGGAGGGGUGUAUGCCUAACUAAAAAAAUCCCAAAAAUGAUUCCUGAAAUCGGUAAACUUACAAUAAUUCUGGGUGUAAUCUCUGAAAUUCGGAAUUGCAACUAUAUUUUAUACAUUGUUUACCAUUGUCCCAAAUACAUAUAGAGUGAUGCUUGUGCCUUUAUUUGGUCCUUGCUUCCUGUGAUGGGAAUCAUGGGAUAUACUCCUUAAGAAUCAUCUGAUCUCUUGAACUGUUGCAGUCAGGUUAAUAGUUCUGGUUCCAUUUUACUUCACCGUUCUUCACAUUUUUUGUACAAUUGUGCUCUGUAUUUUAUCCGGCUUAUCUGUGCUGCAGUAAGAGUGUGCAGGAUCAAGCCGGUGGUGAACCAACGGUGGGGGUGGUGGCCGAGGUGAAACCGGAAACGGAUCGAGGGGAUCACGAGGACGGCAAGAGUGUCGUGUCCGAGAGCGAGAGCGAUGAGGACUCCGAUGGGUCAGGGAGCGAAGAUUCGGAGGAUUCCGAGGAGGAGAGGCGGAGGGAGGAGGAGAGGACGCGGCGGUGAGCUGAGCGGCUUGCGGCCAUGGCCGCACGCGCUAUUGCUGAGCGCAAAGAUGCUGUUGCGAGGCUCUAGGGGGAGAAGGCGGGGCUUGAGAAGCUGCCCGCCGAGCGUGAGAAGGAGCAGGCUCAGGAGGUGAGCCUGCUUCAUGGCUAUUUUCUUUUGCUCGAGACUUGAAAGGUUUCUUAAUGUGAUGACAUCAAUAUAUAUCGCUCUGAACAGAACGACAGAAACUGCUCUUAUAGCAUGCAUGAUGUUAACUCUUUUUUGUGUUUUAUACCAUCAUUUAGUUAGUACCACAAUGUGCCCCCUACAUUCCAAACUAUAGAUCAUACAAACUUUUUAGCUUAUAUAUGUCUAUCUAGGUGCAUAGCAGCAUAGGUACCUAGAAAAGCCAAACCAACCAAUAAUUUGUGAUGGAGGGAGUAUGUUUUUUGUUGUUAUUAUUCAAAAUGUAUUCUGUUUAGUUUUUUUUGCAAUACUGCAUUUGAGCUCAAAAUCCUACACAUAUUUCAUUGGUUAUGGAACUGUAAGUUCAUCUGAAGUACUUAUAAGGCAGAUUCAAGUAUUCAUUUGCAAAACCAUUUCUACACACAAGUUAUCCUGGUGAGAUGGUUUCUAGAAAGUAGUGAUUCCUUAUCAGCUUCUUGUUCAACAUGUUUCAGGCUUCAGAGUUGCAGACUAGUAUGAUUGAAACAUUGGAAGCAGUGGAGAUAGAGAAACAGAGACAUCACAACACUAGAAUGGAAGCCCUUGCACGUUUGGCUAGACUUGAGGUAUAUGCCUGUCUACAAACGACCCCUACCCAAUCUUCACAGGUCUUAGCAAUGGUCUUAAAGAAGGUUUUCACAGGUUACAAACGGUGAGCUUGCAAAGUCACUUGCCAGGGAACAAUGGGAGCUGGAAGUUCAAGUAUGUUUUCUCUCCCCCCCAUCGUAUAUUAUGUUUUUGGGCUUAAGAUAAGAAGCAAUGGAUAAUCUACAGACUGCCCUGCUCUGAGUCGACAGCAGAUGUAGAGGCAAACUAUAGAUGUGACUAUGCAUAGAUAGUUGAAAGCAUGGGUUUUUAUUCUUCCCUUCAAGUUUAGAGAAUGCUAACAUUUUCAAGAGCCUGCACCUUAACAUGUGGUCCACAAUGCUAUGACUAGACAAACUUGAUACAUUCUGGCAAUGGAAUAAUGGGUUAGUCUAGAGUGACCUUGCACUGGAGUUCUGUGCACAAAUGUAAUUAACUAUUUUUUGUUGCUUUCGUAUUGCUGGAGUCCGAUAUUUUACCAUAACAACUGCUAGCUAUGCGUUGAAUGUGAUUCAUAAUCCAUAGGUGUUUCACAAAUUAUACAAUGAUCUAUUGUUAAACUGAAAAUUGUUUAUUCUUGAUAUUUGAAUAGGUAGAUCAAGUGGCGCAGCUUCGAGAGGAAGUUGAAUUGAAGAAACUUGCUCAAGAUAGUAAGUUGACCAUGACCUUCUUUUUGGGGCUCUCUGGCUUAGAGUUUACUGUGUUUUUAAGAACUUUUAGUUCGUUCUUAGGCCAACGCUAUAUUAUGCUGACUUAUUUUGUUUUCUUCUUGAACUUAUUUAAGUAUGACAUGCCAUUCUUUUUGGUUUCGACUAAUAGCACUUUUUUUGGUAUGUGACCUUUGUUACCAUUCCAUGAACAAGAAUACAGAAGAAAGCUAACAAAGAUACAAAAGACAAGUGCCCCUCCGGUUGAUGAAGUAAGCAAUCAACUUACAUUUGCCAGUGGCUUUUCAUUCCCUCAACUGAUAUAAUAUUUAAUUGAGCCUUUUUUAGUAGAACUAUUGACUCCUCGAAAACAUGUCUCUUUACCUUAUCUAUUUGUAAUAUGUGUUAACUUUUGUCUAGAUAGAAUCUUUGAGAAGGUUCAAGUUGGAGGAAGAAAUUGUUGAUGCAGAAUACACUCUGACAUGUGACAGAAUUGUGAAGGACAAGGUAGGUUUUCCCGUGUAUGACUGAUCUCAUGUAGUGAUUAAUUCUUAUUUACAAAUGGUAGUUUCAAUUAAGCCCUUACAAAUCUCUCCCACAAUGGGAACUGCUGAUACCUUGAUUGAGACAUUUUGACGCCAGAGCUGAGGAAGCAUUGUACAUUUGUCAUAUAAUGGCUCCAGUGUAGCGAGUCAGAUAUUUUGCCUUGUGCUCAAACUGCUCGUGUGUGUGUGUUUUGGUAGGGAAUGUACAGGUUCAAACCUUGAUGUUAUGUUGUAUUUUUUGGUAGAUGACCCAUGGUAGAAAUAGCGCUGUUAUGUUUAUGGCACUCUCAUGUUCAUGUUCAUGCACAAAUAUGGAAGCCACAUUUUGUGUUCAUCAUGCUUUCCUAUAUCUUUGUGCACAUGUGAUUUAAUGCCAGUUGUGUAUUUAUGAGAAUUUUGGUUUAUUUUAUAGGAUUCCGGCUAUCAUCAAGUGACUCCUCCCCCUUACAUUGACUUUGCGGACAGAUGUCUCAAUUCUAAUGGUGGAGCUACGAACAACAUAUAUCAAUGUAUUUGUGAACUUAUGUAUUUGGACUUAUGUGAAUUUGUGAACUUAUGUAUUUGGACUUAUGUGAAUUUGUGAACUUAUAUAUUUGGACUUGUGUGAAUUUGUGAUAUGAACAUAUAUCAAUGUGUUUGAAAUAUGUAUUGUAUGUGAUAUAUUGUGUUGCAUGUGAUAUUAUGUGUGUCUAAUUUUUCAUUUUUGUAUUUUUAUUUUUUUCUGAAAAAGGGUUAAGAACGUGGGUACCCACGUUCUUAAGGUUAAGAACGUGGGUACUCACGUUCUUAAGGUUAAGAACGUGGGUACCGUCGAACUUAUUGUGCAGUCCGCGCAGACCUCUGCAGGACACAUAAGUUCGACGGCCACGUGACCCCGUCGAACUUAACCGUAAGAACGUGGGUGCCGUCGAACUUAUGGGAAAAAAUUCGACGGCCCCCGUCGAACUUAAAAACGCACGUUCUUAAUGUUAAGUUCGACGGUACCCACGUUCUUAAUGUUAAGUUCGACGGUACCCACGUUCUUAAGGUUAAGUUCGACGGGGCCGUCGAACUUACUUCUCUAAGUUCGUCCAAAAAUCGUCGUCGGCUAUAUUCGUCGGUAAACCCACGUUCUUACGGUAAGUUCGACGGCCUAUUACAUUAAGUUCGACGGUUUUUCACCCACGUUCUUUAACCAGUUUCCUGUAGUGGAUGCCAGAGCCAGCCCAUGUUAGUCUUAGCAAUUAAGCAAGUGUCUAGUUCAGCUUUGUUAUCAUUAAAAUCAACUAAAUAUAGAUGUCCAUCUAAUACUCCCUUAAAUGCUAUUGAAUCAUCACUUUUUCUAAAGACAGUAACACCUACAUCAGUGAAUAGGCAGUUGUAGCCCAUUUUGCAUAAUUGAGAAACAGAAAGUAAAUUGUAAUCUGUAAAGCCCAAAAAUUUGUAUCAGAGAAAAAUAAUGAUAUAAAUAAAUAGAUAUAGUUAUAUGUCAAUGUCUUGGGGAAUUUCGGAACCUAUGUGAUUAAUUAUCAUCUUUUCUCUUUUGCAUCUGUAAAUAAAGAGACCAAGUUAAGCAAAUUAAAGGUGCUUCCAUGCUAAUAUUUUUAUGUGAUGAAUUUGAUUUGAAUAAAAGAAUCAUAACUUAAAUUUGAAUUCAAAUUAUAAAUGAGAAAAUAUAACAGAAAAUGAGUAAAAGAAAGGAAAAUACAAAAGAAAAGAAAAAGGGAAAUCAGCCCACCUCGGCCCAAAGACACGCGUCGGCCCACCUUCAGUUUUUCCUGGCUAGCCCACUAACCAGCGUCCCAGUGAAUGACCACCGGGGCCCACUCCUCGGUCCCCAGCGUGGCUUCGUGCAUGCUCCCGGGGUCCCUAACCGAUGGGCCGCGGUCUCUGUGCACGAGCCCGGGCUGCCAGCCUCACUCCAAUUCCCCCCCCCCCCGUCCAACAAGCUCUCGCUACCGGUGGGCCCUGCAUGUCAGGCCUAUCUUCUCCGUGGCCACACCCACUUCUCCGAAAACCAUGCAACUCCAAAUCCGCUUUCCUCUCCUUGGUAGCUGCAUGCCUGUGUCCUCGUGGGUAUAAAGACCGAGACCCCCCUCUGUUGCCCCAACUCUUUGGGGGCGCUCCUGCCACCAAAACGGGCAUCCACCGCCAUGGGAGAGAAGAGAGGUCGGAAAGGGAAAAGACAAGGGACUCCGCCGCCAUGGAACUUGUACAGGGACCAACGUCGGGGCCUCUGUAUUAGCCCAGGUGCUUCACCAUGUGGCGGGGAGGGUUUCUGUGGUCCCUCCUGGCAGGAUUGGCUGGUGAUGACUCAUGAAUCGCUCACCGGAACAAUUCCAACGUCGCGGAUCCCCCACGACUAUGGAUGGAUCCCUACGCCUCGACGUUCGCCGGUAAAUUGCCCUCCCAUAGGUUUGCCUUCCUCUCUGAUUAGUGUAGCACACUUCUGAUUUGGCGGGGGAAUCCUAGUUCGUCGCACUCGCUUCUCCGGUGUGGGCGCCGCCGUCACGGGCAUGUGCCCCGCCGUGCUCAGCUGUUGCGUCACGGAGGAAGAAGAAGCCCCCUGCACCGUCCAUCCUAGGAUAGACGGUUGAGAUAUGAAGUAGAGAGAUCGCUUCAUAGGGUAGAUUAGAGCCGUGGGGUGGUGAUCGGGCGACCCAUGUGGAAUCAGGCUUCAUUAAAUCUAUGACGUAGAUCUUGGGAUGUGCGGUUCUGGGCGCUCGAUUCUUGAUCUGAACUGGAUCACUGGAUCAAGAUCCGAUGACCACUAUCGCAUACCGGUUCGGGUUAUGGUAGAUCUUAUCUGAACCAUUGAUCUGAAUCUGUAUGGUUCAUAUUGAACCCUACCCCUUCACCGAACCAGUUUUACAAAUAGGAGCCCUAGUUUCUAUGAAUUUAUCCGCCAAUCACCCAGUGUUGUUGCAUUAACAGUUGUGCCCUCAGAUUUCACAAAUAAGCCCCUCGACUUUCCAAAUAGACCCUGGGAUCUAUUUUGAGGUAUAAAAUUUAAGUAAAAAUGAUUAGAAAACUUGUAAACCCCAUAAUCUACUCAUUUUAAUUCCGAUUUGACCCGUUCGAAUUGCGUUGGACUCAUACGAAUAUUACCUACACCAUAGUAACAUCAUUUUACCAUGCAACAUGCUCUCAAAAAUAAAUAAAUAAUUUGUCCAAACAUAUGGUUAUUGGAUUAACAUAUUUAAUCUGAGCUAAUCUAGGAUUUUAAUUUGGAUCAUCUACUCGUAUAUGAUUCUGUAGUAACUUAGAGUGAAGGUUGAGUUAGUUAUAUAUUUUCUCACAUAAUUGAUUUUAAUAAUCAUAAUAUAUAGUUUAUUGAUUAAUCACUUAGAACCUGGUAGAACCAUAGCUUCUUAGCCACAACUCCGAUUUUAGUAGUUCUCGAUCCCACGAUCUCGUAGCUUCGCGUAGAUUAUUAUUACGCAGAUUAUUCUUAUGUUUAGUGUGAUGCUAAUUUUGCCUAUAUCAUGUUUGUCUGUAUUGCUACGUUUAGCAGUGAGGACACGUGUCAUCUGAAGAUCAUCCCAAGCAAGUUGUGCCCUUGAUCACUUCUUUUUAUCCAAUCAUGUUCUUAUUAAUCAUAAUGAUCUGCAUAGGUUAAUUUUUAUGGGACCCAAUACGUUACCCUAGUUUGACUAUCUUUAUACCUUGUUUACCACUGAAUUUUUGGGUAGUACCUGCUAUUGCUUUAUGUGGUUUUGGGUAUAGAGAUACACAUUAUUCACGAUUAUACUUUUAUUAUCAGUUGUUAUUUACUGUUCAUGAUAAGAUCAUUAUUUUAAUUAGAACAUGGAGAACCACCCGGGAAAAUAGUGCUGCCACAAGGGUGGUAUGGGACGCUCUUGGCUGACUAAUGAGGAAAGCUAGUGGAGGACUACCUUACCCGAAAGGGGCAAGGGCAGUAGGGGAGUCGUCAGUGUAGGGAGGCCCUUGGGUUGAUUUUGUUGCGAUGGCGGUCACGCGAGGGGUCCUUGCAUUGGAGCUUCCAAGAAAUUGUAGUUGGUUUUCUGAAGAUAGUGGAACUUUGUAAAGGCCUCAUAGUGUUACCCUGCCUUGCCUCCUCGGUAGAGGUGUAUGGAAAGUUGCGAUCCCUUGGCAGAUGGGUAACAUGACUUGUGGGUAAAGAUAUGCAACCUCUGCAGUGUAAAACUAGUAUACUAGCCAUGCUCAUGGUCAUGAGCAGCUCGGACACUCACAUGAUUAACUUAUGGAUUAAACUUAAUUUCUCAUAUGCAUUGGAUUGUGGAAUUUAUUAUUAUUUUGAUCUACUACUUAAUUGGGUUGGUAUCUACUUAUACUUAGUAAUUGCUAAUAAAAUUUUGACCAACUUUAAAAACAAUGCUCAGCUUUAACUAUCCUCUUUGGUAAGCCUUACACUUCACAUGAGCUCCCACCUUUGGUGAGUUCAUGCACAUUAUUCCCCACAACUUGUUGAGCGAUGAAUGUAUGUGAGCUCACUCUUGCUUUCUCACACCCCCCCCCCACACAGAUCAAGAACAGGUACCGUAGGAUGAGGCGCAUGGAGGAUGUUGUGACGAGUUCGUGAGAGGUCUAGGUCGUCGUCUCCCAGUCAACUUUGGGUUGCUGGAUCGUUGUCUCAUUAUGAUGUAAUUAUUUAUUUAUUUUGUACAUAACUCCUAUUAUAUAGUAAAUAUGUGACAUUCGUUUCUAUACCAUGAUUCAUCAUAUGUGUGAGACUUGGUCCCAGCACACCUGGUGAUUAUUUCGCGCCCAAGUUUUGGACCCCUAAAACCCGGGUGUGACAUACUCUAAAGAAUCUACGAGAAAAACAUUAGAAAUGGAAUGGUCGGGGGAUAUAGAAAUUUUACCCAAACGUUUGACCAAACCUUGAUUUCCAUCCCCGAAUGUGAUAGCUCUUUGGGGAUCUUCAUUUUUCUCAUAUGAGGAGAACAUCCUUUUCUCCACUGUCAUGUGGUUUGUGCAGCCACUAUUGAUUAUCCAACUUGAUCCACCGGAUGCAUAAACCUACAAAACGAAUUUAUGCCUUGUUCUUAGGUACCCAAACGGUCUUGGGUCCUUUGACAUUAGAAACAAGCACCUUGGGUACCCAAACACAAGUUUUUGGACUCUUGUGUUUACCCCAACAUAUUUGGCAACUACUUUGCCUGAUUUGUUAGUAAGCACAUAAGAAGCAUCAAAAGUCUUAAAUGAAAUGUUAUGCUCAUUUGAUGCAUUAGGAAUCUUCUUCUUAGGCAUUUUUACAUGAGUGGUAUGCCUAGAACUAGAAGCCUCAUUUUCAAAAAAGCGUGAUGAGAAAUAGUAUGAGGUUUUCUAGCAUGAAUUUUCCUAAUCUUGUGUUUAUGAUAGUUUGCAGGAUAUAAAAUAUAGCCCUCUGUAUCAUGAACCUUGGGAGCCUUGCCCUUUACAAAAUUAGAUAAUUUCUUAGGGGCAUUAAGUUUGGUGUUGUUUUGGCUCCCUUGUUGGAAACCAAUCCCAUCCUUAAUGCCAGGUCGUCUCCCAUUAUAGAGCAUGCUUCUAGAAAAUUUAAACUUUUCAUUUUCUAGCUCAUGCUCAACAAUUUUAGCAUUUAAUUUAGCUAUGUGAUCAUUUUGUUCUUUAAUCAUAUCAAUGUGAUCAUCAAUAGCUUCAACAUUAAUAUCUCUACAUCUAGUACAAAUAGUAACAUGCUUAAUAGAAGAUGUAGAGGGUUUGCAAUCAUUCAAUUCUUCAAUCUUAGCAAUUAAAUUAUCAUUCUCAAUUCUAAGGAUGGAAAUUGAAUCAUUGCACAUGCUAAACUCCUUAGACAAAUUUUCACAUUUUUCUACUUCUAGAGCAUAAGUAUUUUUCGAUUUAACAUUUUUUUGUUUUCCUUAACGAUCAAGUCCUCUUGGCAUUCCAAGAGAUCAUCUUUCUCGUUAAUGGUUUCUAUUAAUUCAUUCAAUUUUUUUGGUCCAUGUCAAGGUUGGCAAAGAGAGAAAUUAAAUUAUCUUCAUUAUCGCUAGAGCUACCCUCAUCAUCAGAUGUAGUAUAUUUAGGGGUGGCUCUAGUGUAUACCUUCUUCUUCUUACCGUCCUUAGCCAUGAGACACUUGUGGCCGACAUUGGGGAAGAGAAGUCCCUUGUUGACGGUGAUGUUGGUGGCAUCCUCGUCGGAGGAGGAGUCGGUGGAGCUCUCAUCGGAGUCCCAUUCCCGCCCCAUGUGCGCCUCACCGCCCUUCUUCUUGUAGUACUUAUUCUUGUCCAUCUUCUUCUUCCCUUUCUUGUCUUCGUCCCUACCACUUUCACUAGAAUAUGGACAUUUAGCUAUGAAGUGACUGGACUUACCACAUCGGUAGCACACCCUCUUGGAGCGGGGUUUGUAGUCCUUCCCCCUCCUUUGCUUGAGGAUUUGAAGAAAGAUCUUAAUGAUAAGAGCCAUCUCCUCGUUGUCGAGCUUGGAGGCGUCGAUCGGGAGCCUCUUGAUGUAGACUCCUCCUUUUCUUCCGUUGCUUUGAAUGCAACGGGUUGCACUUCGGGUGUGGAGGUGACGCCUUGCUCCAAGUUGACAAUAUGUUUGGAGUCUUUGAUCAUAAGUUCAAAGCUCACAAACUUGCCAAUCACCUCCUUGGGAGACAUCUUUUUAUAUCUAGGAUCCCCACGUAAUUGAACUUGAGCAGGAUUACGAAAAACGAGGGAUCUAAGACCUUGACCUUUUCAUGGUCAUCCCAUUUUGUGUUCCCGAGGUUGCGCACUUGAUUGACCAUCAUCUUGAGCCGGUUGUACAUGGCUUGCGGCUCUUCCCCUUUUUUGAGGACGAAUCGACCGAGUUCUCCCUCGAUCGUCUCCCGCUUGGUGAUCUUGGUCACCUUGUCCCCUUUGUGCGCUGUUUUGAGGACGUCCCAAAAUUCUUUGGCAUUCUUUAACCCUUGCACCUUAUUAUACUCCUAUCGACAUAAAGAGGCGAGGAGUAUAGAAGUUACUUGGGAGUUAAAGUGCCUAAUUUGGGCGGCCUCGUCCGAAUCAUAGUCCUCGUCCCCCCUGUGGUGCCUGCACUCCAAAUUCUACAUUGUCCCAUAUGCUUUCGUGGAGUGAGGCUAGAUGAUGCCUCAUUUUAUCACUCCACAUAUAAUAAUCUUCACCAUCAAAAUAUGGUGGCUUGCCUAAGGGAACGGAAAGUAGAGGAGCACGCUUGGAAAUACGGGGAUAGCGUAGGGGCAUCUUACUAUACUUCUUGCGCUCAUGGCGCUUAGAAGUAGUGGACGACUCGGUGCAGGAUGUGGAGGGUGUUGAAGAGUCGGUCUCGUAGUUGACCACCUUCUUCAUCAUCUUUUUCUUCUUGUCGCCCCUCCUAUGUGACUUGAUGGAGGAAGAGGAUUUCUCCUUGUACUUGUUGCCGGACUCCCUUGAUGUAGUCUUCCCCGAGCCCGUGGACUUGUCGCCGGUCACGAUCUCCCUCUUGGCAUGAUCUCCAGACAUCACUUCGAGUUUGUUAGACUCUUAAUAAAGCACUGGCUUUGAUACCAAUUGAAAGUCGCCUAGAGGGGGGUGAAUAGGCGAAACCUGAAAUUUAUAAACUUAAACACACCCUAAGGCCGGGUUUAGCGUUAGAAUUAAUUCUGAGUGCGGAAGAUUGUUUCUCUUGCUAUGAGUUGCUCAAUUAAUGCGGAUAACGUUUGGGAGCAAACUCAAAUCAAUAUUAGCAAGGAAACUUAAGAGAGAGGAAAGAGGAAAAACAAAUCAAAUGGAAAUCAACACAAGUGAACGCGGUGAUUUGUUUUACCAAGGUUCGGUUCCAAAGAACCUAGUCCUCGUUGAGGAGGCCACAAAGGCCGGGUCUAUUCCAACCCUUUCCCUCUCUCAAUCGGUCACUUAGACUGGAUGAUCCUUCUCCUUAAUCAAUCCGGCCACUAAGACCCCGCAAGGACCACCACACACUUAGGUGUCUCUUGCUAGCUUUACAAAGCACUUAAGAAUAAGAAUGGGAAGGAGAGAAGGCAAUCCAAGCAACAAGAGCGCAAAUGAACACAAAAACUCUCUCUCUCAAGUCACUAUGUGGUUGAGUUGAUUUUGGGACUUGGAGAGGAUUUGCUCUUUGGAAUUGUGUCUUGGAGUGAAUGUUAUUGCUCUUGUAUUGAAUGAGGAUCUUAGAGAACUUGGAUCUUUGAAUGGAGGUGGUUGGGGGCAUUUAUAGCCUCCAACCACUUCCUAGCCGUUGGCUGACCUUGUUGUCGAUGGGCACACCGGACAGUCCGGUGGUGCACCGGACAGUCACUGUUCACUGGCCGGUGCGCGCCACGUCAGCGCGCCCAUUGGGGUUUGGAGCUGUUGACCGUUGGAACCCUUUGUCCUUUUGCUGCACCGGACAGUCCGGUACCACACCAGACAUGUCUGGUGACCUCUAACUUCUGCGCUCUGACUUCUGCCGCGCACUACUUUCCACUGUACACUUUUGUAGUCGACCAUUGACACGCAGGUAGCCAUUGCUCCGUUGACUCACCGGACAUGUCUGGUGCACAUCGGACAGUCCGGUGAAUUAUAGCGGAGAGCGCCCAGAGAAUUUUGGAGAGUGGCCUCUUCGUUUGGUCGAGGGCCUGGUGCACCGAACAGUGUCCAGUGCAUCACUUGUCAGCACACUCUCAUGCCUUGCUCCUAAUUUGAUUGUGUACCCAACUGAAUUUCUUUCUUGGUUUGUGUUGAACCUUAUGCACCUGAGAUAAAUGAUAUCUAGACAAACUAGUUAGUCCAAGUGGUUUGUGUUGGACAUCAACCACCAAAAUCGAUUAUAGGAAAUGAUUAAAUCCAUUUCCCUUUCACUUGGUAAGUGGCUCUAUCCGAUGAGAUUCGAAGAACUAAACGGUUUAUUCCGGUUUAAGUGUGUUGUUGCCUUUAAAGGUGCGACUUGGGCACUUAAGCUGGAAUAAUUCGGGUUGUUCUGCCACAGCUGGUAUUGGAGCGAUUACCAUUAUAGAGGAAUCAAUAAGUCAUGAAUGCCAACUUUUACAAAAUAAAAUUUGAUUAGAAACCAGUGUUGGAUCGUCAGGACUAGAAUGCUAGAUCUAGGACGAAAGGCCUUAAGAAUAAUGGGGUAGAUAGGUGGCUAUAUAAAUAGGCCAUAAAGGUCGACAUUAGGAUAGUAGGGAUGCCCUAGGAGCACCCCUAUGAUCGAUGAGAGGACACUCAUUCAAGCAUGCAUGCAUUGUAGAACAGAAAUAAUUAAAAGUUAAGGAAAACACAUCGAAUCAUGACCCCUAGCAACAUUAGUUAAAAAUGGGUAGCAAGAAAAUGAGUUGGAAUAGAUAUAUCUAGGUUGAUCCACCUCCUUUAAAACUUAAGCACACUUAUCUCCUUACCGCUACCUUAGCACUAACAUUUCACCCUCUUCCACAGAUGUCUUCACCCACCCCUGCCAAUGGAGGAGACAACCGCUUCAGCUUUGACUACCUUUCCCACGAGGGCUUUCCCUCUAUGUUGUGGGAGGUGCUCUGCUCCACUGGAUACCCCACACACCCUCUGUACAUGGUGCAGCUAUACGAGGAGCAUCGGGUGCCAUGUUGCAGGGUUUAGCUGACCUUGGAGUCCCACCCUCUGCAGCCUGGGCGGCGUUCCCUUGAUUCCGAGACUGUCGGGUUCAGGGUGGACGACACCACUGAGGCCGCAGCACUAAAGGCCUUGACAACCUUCUGUGGAUAUCAUCCCCUGGAGAUGAUGAUGCACCCACUUGGACUCUUCCCCGCCGAGAAAAGGGAUGACCCAAUGUGGUGCAGCAAAGUGAGUCAUGUGAAGGAUGUGUGGGCCAUGCAUCCCGACCAGGUUCGGAGGAUCACUGUCCAGUGCAUGAGUGCAUUGUACCACCUCUAGGCCUUGCAGAGCGACGCCAUGACACAUCUCACUGGGCUCGCUCAGGCUACAAAGAUCACCCUCAACAAUCGAGAGGACUUCGUAGUCAACUUGUCUUCGUAAUUGGUGGAGAAAAAUCUACAAGUGGAACAUAUGAACCAGCGCAUCGUGACUCUGUUGCAGUAGGUGGAGAUUCGGGAUAACACCAUCGAUAUCCUAAAAAUACAGCUCCAUGAUGUGCAGGAAGAGCUUGCGGAGGCCAACGCUCACCUAGAAAUACACCACCAAGACAUGGAAGCUAAUGAGGCAAGCAGCGAGGGAGAGGAGGAUCUCGAGGAGAUAGAGCCAGCUUCCGGACCGAACACGACUCCCUUUGGAGUGCCCCUUCACCUGCAUCCAGCGUUGCCUCUACUAAUCGUGGUUAGACGGGUUAGAUUUAACAUGUUAGGAGAAUGGGAAAACCACAUAAGCUUAGUUUUUGGUACCAACUUUUGAACUAGGCUUUAGGGUGGAUCCCAUAAAAUCCUAAACUAGUGCAUUAGACCAACUCAACCAUGAGCAGAAGAGCUAACUCAGCCAAUACAGUCAUGAUGAAUUGUAUAAUCUAUCUAUCCCUGUCGGUAUUUUGGGUCCGACCGCACACCCGGGGUUGCCCCUCAAGGUGUUUUUAGGAGUAGGACGGUGUCAACGACUGUAGCAAAAUGGUUCGUGCCGGUCGCACGAGGGACAAUGGACAAGAUUUGCAGGUUCGGGCCGCUUAGAGAUGCGUAACACCCUACGUCCUGGUGAGUAUUCGAGUGUGGUUACAGGAGGGCUCUCUGGAUUGGAGGUACCGAGAGUUUACGUGGGUGGCUAAGUAAAAUAGGGUCGAUCGAUCUGAAGGGGUGCCCCCUAGGCCUUAUAUACUCGACCGUGGGGCAGUACACGUGGAUAUGAUAACAACAAGUAGCUGAAAGGUAGUGAACCUCUUGAGUUUAUCCCUACGUAACCCUCGCCGACUUAUCCUCGCACGGCUCCAUUGCAUGGGGGCUUCAGCGCGGGAAAGUCGGGUCUCUGUUGCGAUUUACUCGUUUCGACGUUGUGGGCCGUCCGGGUUUGCUCCAAUCCAGUCUUACGUCUUCUCUGCUUUGUUGAUUGUCUUUCCCCAGGCCCACGAAAGAACGACCUUACGAUUUAUUGGGCCCUUGGGCCUUUCGUGAGGUCUUUUAUCUCUUUAGUGGACCCAGGGGAUAUCUAUCCCCCACAAGCCCCCGAUCUUUGGGUUGAUUUAGAGGUAAUCAACUCAAAGAUCCAAGGUCCAAGAAGUGACUUCCUGCUGUCUUCUCUUGCUCCGACCACUCGUUCGACCAAAGUUUAGUUUUGUGCUUGUGCCUUAGAGGUCGGCAUUUUGAAUUGUAGGAUUCUGGACUUCAUUGGGUGCACCGGAGGUGCACCCAAUGGGUGUAGCCCCCGACCUUUGAGUAGAUUUUAGAAGAUAAUCUACUCGAAGGUCUUCCCCAAAGAUUAUCUCCAUUCGCGCUCCUGCAUCUCGGUUGAGGAUUGGUCUUUUCAAUCUCGACCCACGCCUUAGAAGUCGGCGCUAUAUCGGUUUAGAAUGAUAAUCCAUGGGGUGCACCGGAGGUGCACCCAAUGGGUGUAGCCCCCGACCUUCAAAUGGAUUUUUUAAGGAUAAUCCAUUCGAAGGUCUUCCUUUUGCUUGAAAAAAUUGGCAUGAAGCUAUUCGCAUUAUGCUUUGGAGGUCAGCAUUAUGUCAUCAAAAUUUUGCUGCAGAGGUCAGCAUAUAUUUUGUCUUUAGCAGCCGAGUUUGCAAUCCGUCCAUAUCUUGCUAGGUAAUGCAAUUUAUUUGCUUCUGCGACUUGAUUGGACGCCUGAUGGACGUUCUCUGUCUAGUCCUCACAUCGCUUCUGUCGGUCAUAUCUUGUACUUUGCUGGCUAUAUUUGGCUUUCCUCUGAUCCUUACUGAUGUCUCAUUUUUGUCUUGAGGUAUUUACUGUGUGCCCUGCACGGAUGUGACCGUUUUGAAAAAUAUACUGAUAAUUCCUGGGCGUCCCCCCCCAAUGGGUGUGGGCAAGGGACGGCUUGGUACGCUGAGUGUUUUAGCCGGCUGCUUCUGAGUAGUAAUGUGAUGGGACGGCUAGUGUAAUCAUAUCCUUCGCGCUGUUGACUGGAGUCCCAAUGGGUGUAGUAUUGCAUGAAACGGCGUCAGCCGUCUGACGUGUCUUCAGAUGGGUGGGAGUGCUUAUUGAAUGCUUUGCGACUGUUCAGUGACCGCGGUUGGAAGUGAGCGGUUGCCUUUCCUUUCUAUAAAUAACGCCCUUGCUC
Molecule: long non-coding RNA, 15674 nt
Filed under: Zea mays
Lineage: Eukaryota; Viridiplantae; Streptophyta; Magnoliopsida; Poales; Poaceae
Description: long non-coding RNA (ZMAY_LNC005358)
Source: RNAcentral